Vidua chalybeata is the source of this 614-nucleotide long non-coding RNA. RefSeq lists it as uncharacterized. The record is from RefSeq and is a predicted model, not a curated record. The transcript is spliced from 4 exons. NCBI's taxonomy places the organism in Eukaryota, Metazoa, Chordata, Aves, Passeriformes, Viduidae.
AGUUUGGGAUGAAUCACCCUCUGGACACAGCAGGAGAGGAAACGGCCUCAAGCUGAGCCAGGGGAGGCUGAGAUUGGAUACUAUAUCCAGCCUCAGAGUCAAAACAGGAAUAAAUGGAAAACACAUUGAAAAGAGGAUUAUGUCCAUGUGGAGGAGGAUUGACGUGCAUUUCCAAACUGGGAAGAUUGAGUUAUACCAGGCAGUUUUGCCCUUUGUUAUCCACCUAAGAUGCCUGUGCAGUCUGGGAAGGACCCGAGUUCUCUUCCCAUCUCCCUGACUGCUCUGUCAGGUUGGAUCAUGGUGAGGCAGUAAGAAACCAGCUGGAGAUUCCUGGCUCUGGGCUGGGCCAUUGUCACUUCGCUGCGACAGUGAGCAGUGCUCAGGAGAUGUGAGGCCACUUCUGGAUUCAACAGGAUGUUGACCUGGAUGUCUCAGAACAGCUCAUGGAGAGGAAAGACCCUCUGACACAAAACCACGUCACUGGAGAGGGAACUGUAAUGUCAGGGAGGGCAUCUGGAAGAUCAGAGUGGGGAUAAACCAGUCACUCCGAGCUGUGUGGCUUUGCAUGGCUGAGUUUUAUUUCCAGCCUUUUGAAGCACAGCUCAUGAGUCUUA